RNAcentral lists this long non-coding RNA (1608 nucleotides) under Limulus polyphemus (Atlantic horseshoe crab). RNAcentral's name for it is "uncharacterized LOC106478893". The record is from RNAcentral. Lineage: Eukaryota; Metazoa; Arthropoda; Merostomata; Xiphosura; Limulidae.
UCUUGAAAAUGUUAAAAAAGAGAGAGAGAAAGGGGGCCCAUGCUGGCUCUCGACGUUCCUGCUCAGAAAACUUUGGAUAAGGAAAUGCGUAAAAUGUCAAUUUCCAAGUUAUAUUCUUUAGGCAAAGAGAAAUAAAAUAAAAUAAAAGUUCUUCAGUAAAACAAUCUGUAUAUGAGUGGACACACCCUUUACACUAGCAUUUUCCAAACAGUGUGCCACGGCAAGUUUGUGGGGUGUCAUGAGAGUUUCAUCAAAUGAAGAAUAAUUAUGUGCAUAAAAAAAAAUAUAUUAAAAAAAAUAUUGCAUAUAGCAACAAAUCAAGAUGAAGAUAUUUCUUGACUAUGUUGUAUACUGUUGCCUGAGCCAAGAACAGCUUUUGCCACUGACCAUUGUUCUUAUGGAUUUUCAACUGCUACAAGACACCACGUUUUGCUUAUCAUGUUUAAGAAACCUGGUAAAGAUUUCGACAGUCUUCCUAUGGAUAGUCUGAAUGGUGGAGCAAACGCUUGGAAAUACAAACUUCAAUAUUAGUGGUUAUAGAUUUUAGGUUUGAAAAGCGUGAUAUAACUUUUUAUUAUUAUUUUAAAUAUUUUGCUUGUAGUUAUUCAUAAACUUGUGGAAAGAAUUACAUGAUGAGGUCUUAUGCAUUGUUAGUUUAAAUCCUAUUUCUUUUGAAUAGAUAUACGUGAAUGGCUAUAUUUGAAUUUAAUUAACUUUUGUUUUGCUAUUUUUCUGAGCGAAGGUUGAUUAUAAUGUUUUGUAUGGUUUUCUGUGCUUUAGACCAUUCAUUAAUAUCAGGAACUUGAUCAUAUAGCAACUAAAGAAAAGAUUUAGGUUAUAUGAAAAUGCUGUCAGUGUAACAUUUACUCAUUAGGAUAAUUAUAAAGGGCAAGACAAUAUCUUUGCAACAACCUGCAGUGUACUCUCCAUGAAUAUGGGUUAUUUGGAAAAGUGUAUGGGAAUUUGACAACAGUACAUUAUUCCAAAGAAUCUCAAUACUACUUAGCUUGAAGUAAAGCCCACCAGCACUGAAUCUCGAUGUUUUGGUUUUAUGUGACAAACUCUGUUUCACUUAGUUUUGAAUAAUGGUCAAAUAUAUGUACAAAAGCAGACAAGCAAGUAAUUUUUCUUUAUUGUAAUGUGCUAACCAAAGGGGUUUCCUGGGAGUGUUAUGGUAUGGAAUGCAAUUUGUAUUCUAGAUCUAGGACUUAUCCGUGAUAUGUCUAUACACUUACAUGUCCAUGGAUAUCAAGAAAAACUUAAAAAUACAGGCAACUCAUAUUUGGUUUUAAAGUAACAAUAUAAACAUCAUGAGAAAAAGAAGAAACAAACUAAAUGUCUGGAUACUUUUAAUGGGACAGUGUAUGCACAUGAUGAUAAGUGUAAAAAACUGUCCAAACUGCACACUGAAUGUGUAAAUAAAAUGUAUCCUUACCAGAAUAUAUAUCAGAAAAGCCUUUAAUCAAAAUUUAAUGCUGUAUAAAAUAUCCAAAAUUACAAUGAUAUUUUUGCCAAUAACAAAAAUUGUGCAAAUUUCUGUCGAAAUGUCAAAGAAAUGAUUUAAAAAAUUAAAACUGUUAAUAUGUAGAAAACAUUUCUAGGCAAUUA